Molecule: small nucleolar RNA, 139 nt
Organism: Myripristis murdjan (pinecone soldierfish)
Lineage: Eukaryota; Metazoa; Chordata; Actinopteri; Holocentriformes; Holocentridae
Product: small nucleolar RNA SNORA8
Source: Ensembl
GGCACUGUAUGGUAUCUGCAGCCAGUUGCUGCCUUAACUGGUUUGUUCAAAACUCAGUGCUAGAAAAACCCGACAUCUGGCAUCGUUGGUCUCCUUACCUGGUUAUGUUUGGAGUCCUGGUAUAUCUGUCGGAACACAC